CCAUCACUAGUUGCCAUCAGGUAAUGCUGGGAACUCUAGUGAAACUGCCGUCGCAAGACGUGAGGAAGGAGGGGAUGAUGUCAAGUCAUCACGGCCUUUAUGCCCAGGGCUACACACGUGCUACAAUGGAGAGGACAAAGAGCUGCCACUUGGUGACAAGGAGCUAAUCUUAAAAACCUCUUCUCAGUUCAGAUUGCAGUCUGCAACUCGACUGCGUGAAGCUGGAAUCGCUAGUAAUCGUAUAUCAGCAAUGAUACGGUGAAUACGUUCCCGGACCU
This 278-nucleotide ribosomal RNA is filed under the name uncultured bacterium. RNAcentral's name for it is "partial 16S ribosomal RNA". It matches the Rfam family "Bacterial small subunit ribosomal RNA", at positions 1105 to 1381 of the family's 1533-position model. The record is from RNAcentral.